GAAAGCCGUGUGAUAGGUGACUAUCCAGCACGGUUCGGAGAGCACUUUUAGUCUGCGCUGGUGAAUGGAAGCCCCCCCUAUCAAGCAAGAAGGAAGCGGCUCUUCCCACGGCGGAGUCNUAGUCACCAUUGACUCUGC
Non-coding RNA from Nicotiana sylvestris (wood tobacco), 138 nucleotides. Lineage: Eukaryota; Viridiplantae; Streptophyta; Magnoliopsida; Solanales; Solanaceae. The record is from Rfam.